Molecule: ribosomal RNA, 294 nt
Filed under: uncultured bacterium
Lineage: Bacteria
Description: partial 16S ribosomal RNA
Rfam family: Bacterial small subunit ribosomal RNA
Source: RNAcentral
CUUCCUACGGGAGGCAGCAGUGGGGAAUAUUGCACAAUGGGGGAAACCCUGAUGCAGCAACGCCGCGUGAGUGAAGAAGUCAUUCGUGAUGUAAAGCUCUAUCAGCAGGGAAGAAAAUGACGGUACCUGAGUAAGAAGCCCCGGCUAACUACGUGCCAGCAGCCGCGGUAAUACGUAGGGGGCAAGCGUUAUCCGGAUUUACUGGGUGUAAAGGGAGCGUAGACGGCGAUGCAAGUCUGAAGUGAAAGGCGGGGGCCCAACCCCCGGACUGCUUUGGAAACUGUAUGGCUGGAG